RNAcentral lists this ribosomal RNA (466 nucleotides) under uncultured bacterium. RNAcentral describes it as "bacterial SSU rRNA". It matches the Rfam family "Bacterial small subunit ribosomal RNA", at positions 331 to 795 of the family's 1533-position model. The record is from RNAcentral.
CCAGACUCCUACGGGAGGCAGCAGUGAGGAAUAUUGGUCAAUGGCCGAGAGGCUGAACCAGCCAAGUCGCGUGAGGGAAGACGGCCCUACGGGUUGUAAACCUCUUUUGUCGGGGAGCAAAGAGAGUCACGUGUGACUCAUUGAGAGUACCCGAAGAAAAAGCAUCGGCUAACUCCGUGCCAGCAGCCGCGGUAAUACGGAGGAUGCGAGCGUUAUCCGGAUUUAUUGGGUUUAAAGGGUGCGUAGGCGGAAUGCCAAGUCAGCGGUAAAAUCGCGGGGCUCAACCUCGCUCCGCCGUUGAAACUGGCUGUCUUGAGAUGUCGAGAGGUAUGCGGAAUGCGCAGUGUAGCGGUGAAAUGCAUAGAUAUCGCGCAGAACUCCGAUUGCGAAGGCAGCAUGCCGGCUCCACACUGACGCUGAGGCACGAAAGCGUGGGUAUCGAACAGGAUUAGAUACCCCAGUAUAC